GUACUUUUUCUCCCUUCCUAGAUAAUUCUGUAUGGUGAUUUGCCAAAAAAUAAAGAGAAUGUGGUAUGGAUAUCAAAUCAUCAAAGUGCAGUUGAUUGGAUAAUAGCAGAUAUGUUGGCCAUCAGGCAAAAUGCUCUUGGACAUAUUCGAUAUGUUUUGAAAGAUGGAUUAAAAUGGCUUCCUUUGUACGGGUGGUAUUUUUCUCAGGUAAAUCUUAAUUAUGUUUCUGAAAAGAAAUAGA
This is a non-coding RNA of Notechis scutatus (mainland tiger snake), 241 nucleotides long. Lineage: Eukaryota; Metazoa; Chordata; Lepidosauria; Squamata; Elapidae. The record is from RefSeq and is a predicted model, not a curated record.